AAUAUCAGAAGAGUGUAUUUUACAAUAAAUAUCGGUGGUUUUUACUAGUUGACAAUAGAGACAUCGUUAUCAUAUUCCUUAUUACAAGUAAACAGAAAACAAACGACUUAAUUCAUAAAGUCAACAAAUUACAUAAAACUAUCCACAGUUGUUAACAAAAGUUGGCCUCGCAUAAAGAUAAAAUACUGGCAUUUAUUCAGGUUUCUUUACCACAAGUCAACAAAUUAGAUUUACACUUGGAGACGGAAAAGGGGAAUGAAUUCGAAAGAAACGUCAAGCCAGCCGGUUGAGAACUAGACGAGGGCGGGGAUUUGUUCAUAAAACUUGGAGCACAUUUGUUGGCAUUUGAAGUUGAUGGAAAGCUGGAAAGAAUAGGAAAAUUAGGUUCUGUACUGGACUUUAUAUUUUGGCUGGACUUAUCACCUACAGUUUGAUUUCCUGCAGUACUGGAAGUAGCACCACCAGAGCCAAUGAUUGAUGUAAGAGCAGCUGCUAAUGCAAAUUGGAAACUUGGGUCCGAAGUAAUUGCUUUUGUGGCAGCUGCAAUUGUAUCUGGUGGAAGAGACUGUUGUGUAGGAUUUAGAUUCUUUUGAAAACAAUACAAUGUUCCCGCUUAGU
This 618-nucleotide long non-coding RNA is filed under the name Olea europaea subsp. europaea. Lineage: Eukaryota; Viridiplantae; Streptophyta; Magnoliopsida; Lamiales; Oleaceae. The record is from RNAcentral.